CAAUAGCGUAUAUUAAAGUUGUUGCGGUUAAAAAGCUCGUAGUUGGAGUUCUGCCAGGUGCCGCCUGUCCGCCCCAGUGGUGAGUACGUGGCGCGCAUUUGGCCCUUUCAAGGGGAGCGUAUCUGCACUUUAUUGUGUGGUGCGGGAUCCUUGACUUUUACUUUGAGGAAAUAGGAGUGUUCCAAGCAGGCUCUCGUCGUGCACAGCUCAGCAUGGAAUAAUAGCAUUGGACCUCGAUUCUAAGCUGUUGGUUGCCAGAAGCGAGGUAAUGAUGAAGAGGGAUAGUUGGGGGCAUUCGUAUUUAACUGUCAGAGGUGAAAUUCUUGGAUUUGCUAAAGACGGACUACUGCGAAAGCAUCUGCCAUGGAUGUUUUCAUUGA
Molecule: ribosomal RNA, 380 nt
Filed under: uncultured eukaryote
Lineage: Eukaryota
Description: partial 18S ribosomal RNA
Rfam family: Eukaryotic small subunit ribosomal RNA
Source: RNAcentral